AAAUAAGAAGUAAAUUACUACCUAGUUUCGACCUAGUAUUAGAUGUUCACUCAUCCUUAUUUU
RNAcentral lists this transfer RNA (63 nucleotides) under Coraebus diminutus. RNAcentral describes it as "tRNA-Arg". RNAcentral also lists the same sequence under 1 other name. The record is from RNAcentral. Lineage: Eukaryota; Metazoa; Arthropoda; Insecta; Coleoptera; Buprestidae.